GAUGAACGCUGGCGGCGUGCCUAACACAUGCAAGUCGAACGAAGCACUUUAGCUUGAUUCUUCGGAUGAAGGCUAUUGUGACUGAGUGGCGGACGGGUGAGUAACGCGUGGGUAACCUGCCUCAUACAGGGGGAUAACAGUUAGAAAUGACUGCUAAUACCGCAUAAGACCACGGAGUCGCAUGGCUCAGUGGGAAAAACUCCGGUGGUAUGAGAUGGGCCCGCGUCUGAUUAGGUAGUUGGUGGGGUAACGGCCUACCAAGCCGACGAUCAGUAGCCGACCUGAGAGGGUGACCGGCCACAUUGGGACUGAGACACGGCCCAAACUCCUACGGGAGGCAGCAGUGGGGAAUAUUGCACAAUGGGGGAAACCCUGAUGCAGCGACGCCGCGUGAGCGAAGAAGUAUUUCGGUAUGUAAAGCUCUAUCAGCAGGGAAGAAAAUGACGGUACCUGACUAAGAAGCACCGGCUAAAUACGUGCCAGCAGCCGCAGUAA
RNAcentral lists this ribosomal RNA (495 nucleotides) under uncultured bacterium. RNAcentral's name for it is "partial 16S ribosomal RNA". It matches the Rfam family "Bacterial small subunit ribosomal RNA", at positions 28 to 523 of the family's 1533-position model. The record is from RNAcentral.